GGACGACCGCUGGCGGCGUGCUUAACACAUGCAAGUCGAACGGUGAAGCGCCUUCCUUUUUGGUGGGUGUGGAUGAGUGGCGAACGGGUGAGUAACACGUGAGUAACCUGCCCCCUUCUUCUGGAUAACCGCAUGAAAGUGUGGCUAAUACGGGAUAUUCUGGGUCUGUCGCAUGAUGGGUCUGGGAAAGAUAUUGUUUCGGUGGGGGAUGGGCUCGCGGCCUAUCAGCUUGUUGGUGGGGUGAUGGCCUACCAAGGCGGUGACGGGUAGCCGGCCUGAGAGGGUGGACGGUCACACUGGGACUGAGACACGGCCCAGACUCCUACGGGAGGCAGCAGUGGGGAAUAUUGCACAAUGGGCGCAAGCCUGAUGCAGCGACGCCGCGUGAGGGAUGGAGGCCUUCGGGUUGUGAACCUCUUUCGCCAGUGAAGCAGGCCUGCCUCGUUUGUGGGUGGGUUGACGGUAGCUGGAUAAGAAGCGCCGGCUAACUACGUG
RNAcentral lists this ribosomal RNA (495 nucleotides) under uncultured bacterium. Its description in RNAcentral is "partial 16S ribosomal RNA". It matches the Rfam family "Bacterial small subunit ribosomal RNA", at positions 27 to 507 of the family's 1533-position model. The record is from RNAcentral.